AUCUAGGUGUUUUAAGUUAAAAUUUUAAUUUGUGGGGUUAAAGAUGUAGAUAAGUUUUACUCUAGAUA
This 68-nucleotide transfer RNA is filed under the name Trigonopterus sp. 6 AH-2016. RNAcentral describes it as "tRNA-His". Lineage: Eukaryota; Metazoa; Arthropoda; Insecta; Coleoptera; Curculionidae. The record is from RNAcentral.